UCCGGUUUGGCACCGGCAGUCUCCCAUGAGUCCCCGGCAUGAUCCGCUGGCAACAUGGGACAGGGGUUGCGCUCGUUGCGCCACUUAAGGCAACACCUCACGGCACGAGCUGACGACGGCCAUGCAGCACCUGUGCGGGCUCCCGAAGGAGGACCGUAUUUCUACGGCUUCACCCCGCAUGUCAAGCCCUGGUAAGGUUCUUCGCGUCGCGUCGAAUUAAGCCACAUGCUCCGCCGCUUGUGCGGGCCCCCGUCAAUUCCUUUGAGUUUUAGCCUUGCGGCCGUACUCCCCAGGCGGGGUGCUUAAUGCGUUAGCUUCGGCACAGGGCGGGUCAAUCGCCACCCCACACCUAGCACCCAACGUUUACGGCUAGGACUAC
Molecule: unclassified non-coding RNA, 379 nt
Filed under: uncultured Actinomycetes bacterium
Lineage: Bacteria; Bacillati; Actinomycetota; Actinomycetes
Description: uncultured actinobacterium contains 16S-23S intergenic spacer region
Source: RNAcentral